This 266-nucleotide unclassified non-coding RNA is filed under the name uncultured fungus. Its description in RNAcentral is "partial contains small subunit ribosomal RNA, internal transcribed spacer 1, and 5.8S ribosomal RNA". The stretch from base 1 to 73 matches the Rfam family "Eukaryotic small subunit ribosomal RNA", at positions 1759 to 1831 of the family's 1831-position model. Lineage: Eukaryota; Fungi. The record is from RNAcentral.
UCAAACUUGGUCAUUUAGAGGAAGUAAAAGUCGUAACAAGGUCUCCGUAGGUGAACCUGCGGAGGGAUCAUUAAAAAAAGAGUUGCAAGACUCGAAAACCAUCGCGAACAUACCUCUCGUCGUUGCUUCGGCGGGCCGCUCGCCAGGGCGCCCGCCGGAGGACCACCAAACUCUGUUUUCUUAGCGUAUCUCUGAGUGGACCACAAGAAUGAAUCAAAACUUUCAACAACGGAUCUCUUGGUUCUGGCAUCGAUGAAGAACGCAGC